Molecule: small RNA, 1444 nt
Filed under: Pan troglodytes (chimpanzee)
Lineage: Eukaryota; Metazoa; Chordata; Mammalia; Primates; Hominidae
Description: retained intron
Source: RNAcentral
GCGCGGGCCGACCGGGCGCACCGACCAUGGCCUCCAAAUGCCCCAAGUGCGACAAGACCGUGUACUUCGCCGAGAAGGUGAGCUCCCUGGGGAAGGACUGGCACAAGUUCUGCCUCAAGUGCGAGCGCUGCAGCAAGACGCUGACGCCCGGGGGCCACGCCGAGCAUGACGGGAAGCCGUUCUGCCACAAGCCGUGCUACGCCACCCUGUUCGGACCCAAAGGUGAGCUCCGGGUGCCCUUGGCCUGCCCUGGGACCUGCUGGGAGGGGCGUGGCGCUGGCGCUGGGGAGGGCUGGGGGUCCCGGCCGCCGUGGAUCCCCGCCCAGAGUCCCUGCCACCCUGGAAAGCCUAGUGCCCCCAGCCCCCAGCGGGCCGUUUUCUGAGACGCCCGGUGGCCGCGGCCCCCACCCCACGUACCCCCACCCGCAGGCGUGAACAUCGGGGGCGCGGGCUCCUACAUCUACGAGAAGCCCCUGGCGGAGGGGCCGCAGGUCACCGGCCCCAUCGAGGUCCCCGCGGCCCGAGCAGAGGAGCGGAAGGCGAGCGGCCCCCCGAAGGGGCCCAGCAGAGCCUCCAGUGUCACCACUUUCACCGGGGAGCCCAACACGUGCCCGCGCUGCAGCAAGAAGGUGUACUUCGGUGAGUGCGCGCCCGGGCCCCGGACCCCCGCCCCCGCCCCUGCCCCGGGGCUCGGCCUCACUCCUCCCCCUUUCCAGCUGAGAAGGUGACGUCUCUGGGCAAGGAUUGGCACCGGCCCUGCCUGCGCUGCGAGCGCUGCGGGAAGACACUGACCCCCGGCGGGCACGCGGAGCACGACGGCCAGCCCUACUGCCACAAGCCCUGCUAUGGAAUCCUCUUCGGACCCAAGGGAGUGAACACCGGCGCGGUGGGCAGCUACAUCUAUGACCGGGACCCCGAAGGCAAGGUCCAGCCCUAGGCUACAGCGGCUCUCGUGAUGUGGGCUCACCUGCGCCCCAGACCCUGCAGGGGCUCCCCUGCUUGGCUCUGCUGGGAGAGUGCUCAGCCGCCUAGUCCUGCCUGCAAGCCCAGGGCGAGUAUUGGAGGAGGGGCAGCCACGGGCAGAGCGCCAUGCCCAUCCCCGAGUCUCUGGUGUGUCUGCCCCCUCUGGCAUCCUCUGGGCGUCCCAUGAUCCCUUCUGUGUCUGCGUGUCCGAAUCCCCGUGUGACCCUGUCCCAGCAUUUUCCCGCCGACCCUGCGUGUCCCCGUGGCGCUGUCCGCUCUCCCUCUCCUGCUGCCCACCCACCUGCCAGUGUUAUUUAUGCUCCCUUCGUGGGUGAUGGCCACGCCCUCACCAUGUCCCUGGCAGAGGGCUUUCCUCCGGGAUCCCCUGCCUGGUGCCCACACUGCCUCGCAAGCGCUCGCCACCCUCACGUGGCUCACCUGCUGUUGAGCCUUGUGCUGUCAAUAAACGGUUUGAGGAUUG